UUGGUGCUCGUUAUUCUGUUAUUGAGUUACGGGUAAAAGGGAAUCGGGUGAGAAUCCCGGACAGACACCGCUGCUGUGAGCUUUGUUUAGGUUCUUAAUAUCAAUUGCCACUGUUUUAUAUGGGAAGGCGUUAAGAAUGAAGCGAGUCAGAAAACCUGCCAAUAUUUU
Molecule: non-coding RNA, 168 nt
Filed under: human gut metagenome
Source: RNAcentral